Molecule: transfer RNA, 67 nt
Filed under: Japanagallia sp.
Lineage: Eukaryota; Metazoa; Arthropoda; Insecta; Hemiptera; Cicadellidae
Description: tRNA-Glu
Source: RNAcentral
AUUCAUAUAGUUUUAUAUUAAAACAUUUUAUUUUCAAUAAAAAAAAAGUUUAAUAAACUUAUGAAUU